RNAcentral lists this long non-coding RNA (608 nucleotides) under Anas platyrhynchos platyrhynchos (common mallard). RNAcentral's name for it is "lncRNA (ENSAPLG00000019957.1)". The record is from RNAcentral. Lineage: Eukaryota; Metazoa; Chordata; Aves; Anseriformes; Anatidae.
AUGAAGCUUAUGACUACUUGAGACUACAUUUCUCAUCUUCAGUGGCUGUCAAAGGAAAGUGCGUUCAAAUGAAGAACCAAUUUUUCAUGGAUUAUCAAACAGCAAACAGGCUGACAAUGAUUGGCUGCUAAAAGAACAUUUGAGUUAGUCAAUGAAUACAGGGUCUUACUUGGGCAGAAGUUACCAAAUUGUACUAAAUUAUAGUGAGCUGUGGUGGUCUGGAGAUAACAAGAAUCUAUACAAUACACAAAUGCACCACCAAGGUGUGACGUUUCUGAGUUUGUUGGUGUUUAUGCUCUGAAUGAGUUAACAGAUUAGAUCUUCUGAACGUUCUUUCUCUGGGUCUCUCAUACAGAAGUGAGUACAACCAUAUUGUAUCAGUUGUUAUAUUUGCCACAGACCAAAUGAAUAUCCUUUUAACUCUUUACAGGAUGUCUAAAUUGAGAUUAAGAAAGGAUUUUGGUGUUCAUGCAGUUACUGAACGGUCUGGUUGUCAUUUCAUUUGCAAGGGAAAAAAAAAAAGAAAAAAAAUAAUUAGAACUUGGGUAUAAUUUUUAUAUUGGAGUGUGCUGUAACUUCUAACACACCAUAAAAAGGCAAUGGGUAUG